CAGGGUGUCUGUGUGGCAUAUACUGUCCAGAGCUGUGACCACAACAAGAGAUUAAGUGAAAUAACGUGACCUGAAUGUGAAAAGCAAUUCGAAUGCUACUCUUAGGCCUCUUCCAGACUGUUCUCUGUUUACGGCAGGGAUUGGUUCCCAAAACGGCGUUUCUUCCAGGAAUUCUGUGAGGAGCAGUGGUGAUGGUGAAUUUAAUCUCUCGCUGGGCGAGACAGCUUCAGUACUGAUACUCUCUGCCAGGAAAAACUGGAAACAGUACCGUGGAGUCAUUAAAAAAAAUGUCACAUAGGAAUUUUGUGUUUUAAUUUAAAUAGUUUCUAGACCUGCUGCAAUACUAAUGUGACUGAGGCAGUGUUGUUACAGGAUGACACUCCAGACGAUUGAGCCACACCAGCCAGGGCGGGAUCAGUGCUUUUAUAAAAGAGACCCCAGAGUCUCUGCCCCUCUCAUCAUAUAAGGACACAGCAAAAAGAUGACAGUCUGUGAACAGGAAGUGGGCUCUCAACAGAUACCGAAUCUGCUGGUGCCUUAAUCUUGGGCUUCCCAGCCUCCAGAAAUGUGAGAAAUAAAUGUUCUGUUUUU
Molecule: long non-coding RNA, 591 nt
Organism: Phyllostomus discolor (pale spear-nosed bat)
Lineage: Eukaryota; Metazoa; Chordata; Mammalia; Chiroptera; Phyllostomidae
Exons: 2
Source: RefSeq, a predicted model, not a curated record